GUUCCUUGGAAAAGGACAGCUGAGAGGGUGAGACUCCCGUCCGCCUGGUAGAGUGAGUCGUUGUCAACGAGUCGAGUUGUUUGGGAUUGCAGCUCUAAUUUGGUGGUAAACUCCAUCUAAAGCUAAAUAUUGGUGGGAGACCGAUAGCGUACAAGUACCGUGAGGGAAAGAUGCAAAGAACUUUGAAAAGAGAGUUAAAGAGUACCUGAAAUUGCUGAAACGGAAGCGAAGGAAACCAGUGUUUGUUGGUUCAUAUUUCCCUGGCCACUUGUGGUUUGGGCGCUGUGAGCUUGCGUGGGUUUGCUUUGGUUGAUCCCUUUGGAAGAGCGCAGUCAGAGUUGAUGUCU
RNAcentral lists this ribosomal RNA (347 nucleotides) under Pseudo-nitzschia sp. 200704_D11. Its description in RNAcentral is "LSU rRNA". It matches the Rfam family "Eukaryotic large subunit ribosomal RNA", at positions 185 to 544 of the family's 3401-position model. Lineage: Eukaryota; Bacillariophyta; Bacillariophyceae; Bacillariales; Bacillariaceae. The record is from RNAcentral.